Ostrea edulis (European flat oyster) is the source of this 392-nucleotide long non-coding RNA. RefSeq lists it as uncharacterized. The transcript is spliced from 2 exons. The record is from RefSeq and is a predicted model, not a curated record. NCBI's taxonomy places the organism in Eukaryota, Metazoa, Mollusca, Bivalvia, Ostreida, Ostreidae.
AAUCCUAAUAUAAACACUGACAAAGCCAUGAUCGGGGCCGUAAGCAUCCACCCCACGAUUAGAAAACAGUAGUUCCGCCUCUGGUUUUCCAUUUUUCUUCUGUGAAAGGUGAAGAUAACGAACAGUGAUCAAUCUCAUAACUCCAAUAAAGAAUAUCUAUUAACAAGAUUUGACAAACAAGGACCCUUGGACAUAGAAGUAAACGGAGUUAUUUGUAGUAAAAAAACAAUCGGUAUAAAACACGUCAGACAACAUUUGACCCACUGAUAGGUUGUAUUGGUAAACUAGAAUUAUAACGACCAUACAAUCAGCGACAUGUUGACUUGUAUAUUUUUUUUAUUUGUAUUGUAAAAAAAAAUCGUUUGUAUUGCAUAAAAAUCAUCUCCAUUGUA